Molecule: ribosomal RNA, 513 nt
Filed under: uncultured bacterium
Lineage: Bacteria
Description: partial 16S ribosomal RNA
Rfam family: Bacterial small subunit ribosomal RNA
Source: RNAcentral
GACGAACGCUGGCGGCGUGCUUAACACAUGCAAGUCGAACGAAAAGAGGGAAAGAGCCUGCUCUUUCCGGAAUUGAGUGGCAAACGGGUGAGUAACACGUAAACAACCUGCCUUCAGGAUGGGGACAACAGACGGAAACGACUGCUAAUACCGAAUAAGUUCCAAGAGCCGCAUGGCCCAUGGAAGAAAAGGUGGCCUCUACCUGUAAGCUAUCGCCUGAAGAGGGGUUUGCGUCUGAUUAGCUGGUUGGAGGGGUAACGGCCCACCAAGGCGACGAUCAGUAGCCGGUCUGAGAGGAUGAACGGCCACACUGGAACUGAGACACGGUCCAGACUCCUACGGGAGGCAGCAGGGGGGAAUCUUCCGCAAUGGGCGAAAGCCUGACGGAGCAACGCCGCGUGAGUGAGGACGGCCUUCGGGUUGUAAAACUCUGUGAUCCGGGACGAAAAGGCAGAGUGCGAAGAACAAACUGCAUUGACGGUACCGGAAAAGCAAGCCACGGCUAACUACGUG